UAGGGAGGAAAAGAAACCAACCGGGAUUGCCUCAGUAACGGCGAGUGAAGCGGCAAAAGCUCAAAUUUGAAAUCUGGCACUUUCAGUGUCCGAGUUGUAAUUUGUAGAAGUAGUUUUGGGGCUGGUCCUUGUCUAUGUUCCUUGGAACAGGACGUCAUAGAGGGUGAGAAUCCCGUGUGGCGAGGAUCCCAGUUCUUUGUAAAACGCUUUCGAAGAGUCGAGUUGUUUGGGAAUGCAGCUCUAAGUGGGUGGUAAAUUCCAUCUAAAGCUAAAUAUUGGCGAGAGACCGAUAGCGAACAAGUACAGUGAUGGAAAGAUGAAAAGAACUUUGAAAAGAGAGUGAAAAAGUACGUGAAAUUGUUGAAAGGGAAGGGCAUUUGAUCAGACAUGGUGUUUGGACGCCCUGCGCUCCUUGUGGGUGCAGGACACGCUUUUCACUGGGCCAACAUCGGUUUUGGCAGCAGGAUAAAUCGUUAGGAACGUAGCUGCCCUCGGGUAGUGUUACAGCCUGGCGGAAUACUGCUAGCCGGGACUGAGGACUGCGUCUUUUGACAAGGAUGUUGGCAUAAUGGUUAAAUGCCGCCCGUCUUGAAC
RNAcentral lists this ribosomal RNA (594 nucleotides) under Hanseniaspora vineae. RNAcentral's name for it is "eukaryotic LSU rRNA". It matches the Rfam family "Eukaryotic large subunit ribosomal RNA", at positions 49 to 659 of the family's 3401-position model. The record is from RNAcentral. Lineage: Eukaryota; Fungi; Ascomycota; Saccharomycetes; Saccharomycodales; Saccharomycodaceae.